AAAUAAAACUAAUUUUAUUAAUGAAAAUAAUUAUACAAAAUAUUAAAAACACACCUGGAAAUCAAGAUUACAAGGAGAUGGAGAGAAUUUGAGAAGAAGAGAGUUGUAGAGAGAUGAUUAAAACAUAAAAAUGAGGCCUUAUUUAUAGAAAAAUAAAUUCAUAAUCCAGUGCUUUGUGGUCCAUCAUAGGCUUCAUGCAUGUGCUCCUCACAACCCUUAGAUCAAGAUCCAAUGGCUAGUCAAACUUCAAAAGUCAACAUCACACAUGGCAUCAUUUGACUCGUCCGAUUUGCCCAAAGAACGGUUGAGAUUUGGCGGGUUAAUGGGUGGAUCGGGUCGACCCAAAUACAAAGAUUCGGAUCCUCCAACUUGCUUCACCAACCAUUGCCACGUGGCACAAUCAUGGCCAUUGAAUCAUGAACGGUUGAGAUUUAGUCAAGAUUGCCAGUUAUCCCAUGCACUCAUAUCUAUUGUAAGCUCAUUUCAUCAUCCAAUCAGUGCUCGGUCAACAGGAAAAGUCAACUUUUUUUACACAAGCCCAAUUUUAAGCCGAUCUUGACUGAUCUUAAGGUUUUCGGACCUCCGGAAUCCAAAUUUGACCUCCGUUUAUUUGUUUGGAGCCUCGAAGUACGUGAAAUUAAUAAUUUUCCUAAUAAACACAUAAAAAUACACAAAAUUAAAUAUAUUUAAAACAUAAUUAAUAAUUCAUAAUAUAUUACAUAAACACAAAUAUAAAUUAUAACAUAAGCAUAAAAUAACAUAUUAUCGCUUGAUAAUUAAACAAUUUUUAAUACUAAUCACACCCCCCAACCAGCUUAUUGCUAGCCCUCUAGCAAUUAAAGCGUUAUAUUAAGAUUUAUAAAAUUCACAUGCAAGUUAAUAGUUGUUCAUCUAUCCUCUAAAUUACCAAAUAAAUGAACUCUCCCAAAUUCCUUUACCACAUUGAUGUUCACUCAUUAUCCAGAAUAUCAUCAAACCUUCUUUUGUGCUCAAGUAAUUAACACAAUACUUAUAGGGCUUCAUUAAAAGAAAAACAACAUUUUCGUUCUAAAAUUCAUUAGAAAUUAUAUCUUUAGGCAAUAGAUUAUUCACACAUUUUUUUUUAUAUUACAUUUCUAACCCGUUUAGCGAGCUUUAGGUCAGUGACUCCCAGACCAGUUGGCCUUAGGGCACUAGGUGUUGAAGCACCCCUACGGACUUAAUUACUCGGGUUUCUAAUAAACAAACAAUAUAUCUAUUACCCAUGUAGCGAGCUUUAGGCCAGUGACUCCCAGACCAGUUGACCUUAGGGCACUAGGUGUUGAAGCACCCCUAUGGACUUAAUUACUCGGGUUUCUAGAUAUAACAAAAUUAAAAACAUUUUUUUUUUGAUUUUUUGAUUUUUUGAUUUUUUUAUUUUGGAAAUAUACACUUUCUACUACCUUAGAUACUAUUCCUAAUAAAUCAAAAGAACUAAAUGCUGUAAAAUUUUAACUUACAACCCACUAGUAUGUGUCAUAAUGUGUGUGUGAAGAAUGAUUCAAUAAUACCUGUUAAAUGAGUAAACAAUUAAAUAACUUAAUAACUAAGUGGAGAGUUCACAAAUUUGAGUAAUUCAAAGAAAAGGGAACAAAAACAACUUACUAUGAAUCUCAAAAUCAAAAUAUAAUACAACAAGACUAUUAGGAUGCGUCUCAAAAGUCGUGACUCUUUACACGGCCAUCCUAGACAGAAAACAAUUUUUUUUUUUGGUUUUUUUUUAACAAAGAAAAGAAAAGAGAAAAGAGAAAUACAACACACAUAUUUAAAACAUACGUCAAUUAUCCCCACCCCACAACCUAAUCUAAACAUUAUCUUAACAUUUUAUAAUUUUACAGAUAUGCAAAAAAAUAAAAAUAAAUAAAUAAAUAAAAAUAAAAGAGAAUAAUAAAAGAAGAAGAAGAAGAGAUCUCACCUGAACUUGAUGCAGAAGCUUAAAAGUAGAUAACAAAGAUGAAGAAAAAGUCAAUUUUUUUUUGUUUAACAACACUCUUAAGAUUAAGAAGAUGCGUUUCUAGAGAGACUACAUUCUCUAUAUCCUGCCAUCUUUGACUCAAAUUUGUCCUAAGUUAGUCUUUACAGAAAAAAAAAAUGUUUUUUUUUGUUUUUUUGUUUUUGUUUUUUGUAAACACAUAACCAGGACCAAGACAUUCCACAAUUAUCAACUAUUCCCUCCCCCCAACCUGAAAAAGACAUUGUCCUCAAUGUUUUUAAAGGAAAGAGAAAGAGUGUAGAAGAUAUCACAUGAACACUACAACAGAAAAUAUUUACAAACGGAGAGUUAAAUCUAAAUCGCACUUCUUAUUACUGCUACUGUUACCGUUACCAUCAUUAGUCGACCAAUUCAGUGCAACAGUCUGUGGAUCUGGCUCUGGUGUAUAAGUUUGUAAAAGAUCAAGUAACUCAUUAGCAGUAGAAGCAGAGAUAAAUAGUUUUUUUACAGAAUGUGGAACAAAAUGAUUCUUUAUUGCAUGAUUAAUAAAAGUUAGCAAGCCGUCAUAAAAAUUAUUAACAUUUAACAAACCGAUGGGUUUUUGAUGAAUGUUCAAGUGGGCCCAAGAUGCAAAUGUAAUUAGUGCCUCAAAAGUUGCAAGAUCUCCUGGCAAGAAAAUAAAAGCAUCAGCAUGAUUCAUCAUUUCAGAUAUUCUCUCUUGCAUACUUGAUACCACUAAUUCUUCUCCAAUUGGUGGGCCAGACAUGCACACUAGCGGUUUCAUGGGUUUUGGGAUAAUGCCGAGUACUUGGCUUCCUCUGGUAAAAACAGCUUCUGAGACAAGUCUUGAUAACCCUCGUUCACCUCCUCCAUAUACAAGAUGCAGUUUCCUCUCUGCUAUGACACGACCAAGAUCUACAGCUGCCUGAACGAACUCUUUGUACUUUCCAUAGUGAAACCCAGAAAGCACACAAAUGUUUUUGAAUUGUUUACUCGAAGAUGAUGCCAUUGGACUAAUUUUUCAAAAACAAGUUGUGAGUGUUUGAAAAAUGAGCUCAUAUUUAAAGAUCUUGGUAACAUAAAUAAUGAGAAACAGCUGUAAAUGGGUUGGCAAUAUUUGUCAAAUGACGAGUAAAGCUCGUGGCUCAAUAAUUCAAAAACAAACAGUAAAAAGAAAGUAAUGAUUAAAAAAAGCAAACAGUAAAAGAAAACCAAAUAUUUAUUAAAUACAAAAUCACAUCGCUAAAUGCAAUAAUGCAAAUGAUAAAAUAACAGUAAAGUAAAAUAACAGUAAAGUGAAAGGAUAUUUACUGGUAGUUGUGAUUGUGGCUCACAUCUUCCUCUGGUUUUACGUCCAGUAACGGCUUGAACGCCCUCUAUGGGUCGAGGAUCGGCUUCCCAUCCAGUUUUCUUAUAAACUGGCAAACAGGGUCUUUUUGAGUCAGAUUCCCAAGACUUAACUGUGCACUUUGUUUUUGGAAUAGUAUCCACAAAUUGUAAAUCUCACGUUGCACAAUUCCGCUUCGAUGCGUCUCAAGAGAUCGUAAGAUAUCAUCCAACGAUUCUUUACUCAUGCCAUCUUUAACGAAUUUAAUUUUAUCUUCACGAGUAUCAGAAACCAUUCCUAAAGAUUUACAAUCUGGUCGUUUGCAACCAAGUCUCACACAGUUAUGACAUUUUGAGCCAAGUCGUUUAGCUCUCCUUUUCUUAGCAAACGUACUUUUACCAAAACCAGGCAUGUAAGAAACAAAUUGACCAGAAAACUCACCUGCUAAUCGGACCUUUGCUUCAAUUAACCAACGAAUGUCAGAAGGAAUGCCAUUGAUCAUUAACAAACGCAAUCGUUCACAACGAGCUUUGUAAAUUUUCCUGAGGGCAUUCUGAGGGAGAGAAGGAAAAUGCUUAUGGAGUUUAUGUUGUAUUUCUUCCAUGUUUGAUUUUGGGGUUUCAGUUAUUGUGGGAAACUGAAGAUACCGACUUAAGAAGUCACGGAGUACCGUUAUCCGCCAUUUAUACGGGAAAAUAAAUCAAAACACACCAAAAUCAAAUCUGCAAAAUCAAAUCAAGCGUGAAAGCGAGCAAAAAGAAGCACACAAUAUAAAAGGAAAAUGAACUUACAUUCGUCCUCUCAUUGAGUUAACCUCAAGCUCCAUUUGAAAUUCAUAUAUGCCACUCUCUACUGUUCUGAGUUGUCCCUCUAGAUCCUCAACAUAGGACACGAAUUCUGGUGGUUGCAGAUCCCAAAGUGGAUGUGAUUUACAGCUUUGUAUCAGGCCUCUUAAGUGAAAUUUUAUACGCCGAAAUCUUUUAAGAUGUGCGAACAGGUAUUUUCUCAUUGAGGUGCUCAUGAUGUAAAAUGAAAAUUGAUGAGAGAAUGUACAACUGUCAAACAAACACGCUUACACAAGAAAAACAAUGUUAAAAAAAAAACUAUGUACAGUGCAUCAAUCUAAGGAAAAAAAAAAGUCAAACAAUGAAACGGUAAAAUAAUAGUAAAACAAAAAAAAAUCAUUAAAAACUUAAUCAAGAACUGGUGGGUCAUCCAAAUUAAUUUCGGUGUCCUCGUCACGUGGGUGAUGUUCCAGAUAUGGUUUUAAUCUUUGACCAUUAACUUUAAAUGUNNNNNNNNNNNNNNNNNNNNNNNNNNNNNNNNNNNNNNNNNNNNNNNNNNNNNNNNNNNNNNNNNNNNNNNNNNNNNNNNNNNNNNNNNNNNNNNNNNNNNNNNNNNGACGAGAAUUAUAAAGCAACACUUUUUGACCAAUCUCAAAUGUUUUUCGAAAAAUUCUUUUAUCAUGAAAUGCUUUUGUUCUUGCCUUAAUAAUUCUUGAAUUUUCAUAUGCAUCAUUCCUUAAUUCCUCAAGUUCAUUCAAUUGUAAUUUUCGCACAUUACCAGCAUCAACCAAAUUUGAAUUAAAAGCUUUAAUAGCCCAAAGUGAUUUAUGUUCAAGUUCAACAGGUAAAUGACAAGGUUUACCAUAAAUUAACCGAUAGGGUGACAUUCCUAAUGAUGUUUUAAAUGCAGUGCGGUAAGCCCAAAGUGCAUCAUUAAGUCUAAGAGACCAAUCUUUUCGGUUUGGGUUAACCGUUUUUUCCAAAAUUUGUUUUAUCUCCCUAUUUGCUAAUUCAACUUGACCAUUUGUUUGAGGAUGAUAAGGGGUAGCAAUUUUAUGUGUAAUUCCAUAUUUCUUCAUUAAAGACUCAAAUGACUUAUUACAAAAAUGCUUACCUCCAUCACUGAUAAUGGCUCGAGGGAUUCCAAAUCGACUUAAAAUGUUUUCUCUUAAAAAUUUAAUCACAGUUUUACUGUCAUUAUUUCGACAAGAAAUUGCUUCAAUCCAUUUUGAGACAUAAUCAACUGCAACUAAUAUAUAUACAAAUCCAAAAGAUGAUGGAAAUGGACCCAUGAAAUCAAUUCCCCAACAGUCAAAUAUUUCAAUUUCAAGUAUGGGAUUUAAGGGCAUCAUGUUUCUUUUUGUAAUUGAUCCCAAUUUUUGACAUUUUUCACAACUUUUGCAAAAUUCAUAUGUGUCUUUAAACAUGGUAGGCCAAUAAAAUCCACACUGCAAAAUUUUAGCAGUAGUUUUUCUUGAAGAAAAGUGACCACCACAUGCUUCAGAAUGACAAAAAUUAAUGACACUACUUACCUCAUUAUCAGGAAUACAUCGCCGAAAAAUUUGAUCUGGGCAAUAUUUGAACAAAUAAGGAUCAUCCCAAUAAAAUUUCUUUACUUCAACAAAAAAUUUCUUCUUCUCUUGAGCAUUCCAUUGCAAAGGCAUUUUACCUGUAACAAGAAAAUUAACAAUAUUAGCAUACCAUGGCAUUGAAGUAACAGAAAAUAAAAAUUCAUCAGGGAAAGAAUCAUUUAUGGGUGUUAUAUCAUUGCAGAAUUCGGAUGUGAGUCUUGAUAGAUGAUCAGCAACAACAUUUUCAACACCCUUUUUAUCUUUGAUGGUAAGGUCAAAUUCUUGUAGUAACAAAAUCCAACGAAUUAGUCUCGGUUUGGCAUCCUGUUUACUCAUCAAAUAUCUCACAGCAGCAUGGUCAGUAAACACAACAGAUUUAGAGCCAAGCAAAUAUGAACGGAAUUUGUUUAAUGCAAAUACCACAGCAAGUAAUUCUUUUUCAGUUGUAGAAUAAUUUAUUUGAGCACUAUCCAAAGUCUUGCUCGCAUAAUAAAUCACAAAAGGCUUACCAUCCCUUCUUUGUCCUAAAACAGCACCAACAGCAAAAUCACUUGCAUCACAAAUUAAUUCAAAUGGCAAAGACCAAUCAGGAGAUUGCAUAAUAGGUGCAGAUGUUAAAAGACAAAUUAUUUUUUCAAAAGAUUUUUGGCAAUCAUCAUUCCAUUCAAACGGUGCAUCUUUUAAUAAGAGGUUACAAAGUGGUUUAGAUAUGGCACUAAAGUUUUUUAUAAACCUCCUAUAAAAUCCUGCAUGUCCUAAAAAGGAUCGCACAUCUCUAACUGUUUUUGGUUGUGGCAAUUUAGAUAUGACUUCGAUUUUUGCUUUGUCAACUUCAAUUCCUUUAAUAGAAACAACAUGACCCAAAACAAUUCCAGAAGUAACCAUGUAGUGACAUUUUUCCCAAUUCAACACGAGUUCUUUUUCAACACAUCUUUUUAAAACUUUCUCCAAAUUAUCAAGGCAAUCAUCAAAAGAAUUCCCAAACACAGUCAAAUCAUCCAUAAAGACCUCUAAACAAUGUUCAACCAUAUCACAAAAAAUGCUUAACAUACAUCUUUGAAAUGUUGCAGGAGCAUUACAAAGCCCGAAUGGCAUUCUUUUAAAUGCAAAUGUUCCAAAAGGACAUGUGAAUGUGGUCUUUUCUUGGUCCUCAAGUGCUAUAGGAAUUUGAUAAUAACCUGAAUAUCCAUCUAAAAAACAGUAGUAGGGAUGUCCUGCUACUCUUUCUAAGAUUUGGUCAAGGAAUGGUAAUGGAAAAUGAUCUUUUCUAGUGGCUUCAUUUAAUUUUCUAUAAUCAAUGCACAUGCGCCAACUAGAUGUAAUUCGUGUUGGAAUUAAUUCACCUUUUUCAUUUUUAACAACAGUGAUUCCAGAUUUUUUAGGCACUACUUGUGUAGGACUUACCCACUUACUAUCAGAAAUAGGGUAGAUAAUUCCCACAUCAAGUAAUUUAAGGACUUCUGUUUUGACUACCUCUUUCAUGUGUGGGUUUAAUCUUCUUUGAGGUUGUUGACAUAUUUUAGCAUUUUCUUCCAAAUUAAUUCUAUGUGUGCAGAUUAAGGGAUUAAUGCCUUUAAUGUCAUUUAAAGUCCAUCCUAUUGCAUUUUUAUGCUUUUUAAGAACAGUUAGUAACUUACCUUCUUGGUCGCUUGUUAAAGUAGAAGAAAUCACAACAGGAUAAGUUUGUUCUUCUCCAAGAAAAGCAUAUUUCAAUCCUUCAGGCAAAGGUUUCAAUUCCAUUUUAGGUGCUUCUUGUUGUUCUGUCUUUUCAAUACUUCCAAGCUCCUCAAAUUUUGGCUCGUCAUCAUAAUUUUGCGAAGUCUGCAUAGAAUCAAGCAACGAAUUUAUAUUAGAAAUAUCAAGUUUAAGUUGCUUAUUUGACUCAAUUGAAUUAACUAAACAAACAUUAGAAAGUUCAGAAAAAUCCCCUUUUUGAAUAUUUUCCUCGAUACAAGAUUCAAACAAUUCCUUUUGUUCAUCAGUAUCAUCUUCAUUCUCAUUUUCUUCAUUAGGUUGCCUGCACAUGUUGAAAACAUUCAAUUCCAAAGUCAUAUUCCCAAAGGAUAAAUUCAUUAAACCAUUCCUACAAUUAAUCAAAGCAUUAACAGUUGCUAAAAAUGGUCGACCUAAAAUUACAAGAAUUGGUUUGUAAUUAUUCACAACAGGUUCAGUUUCCAAGACAAUAAAAUCCACAGGAUAAAUAAAUUUAUCAACUUGUACUAAAACAUCUUCCACUAUUCCUUUUGGUACUUUAACUGAUCUAUCGGCAAGCAAAAGUGUAGUUGAAGUUGAUUUUAACUCACCAAGAUUAAGUUGAAGAUAAACUGAAUAUGGAAGCAAAUUAACACUAGCACCAAGAUCUAGUAAAGCAUGCUCAAUUCUGUGGUUACCAAUAAUACAAGAAAUGGUAGGACAACCAGGAUCUUUAUAUUUCAACUUAUUAUUAGUAGACAGAAUUGUACUUACCUGUUCGGCCAUGAAAGCACUCUUUCUUACCUUCAAUUUCCUCUUAACAGUGCACAAGUCCUUUAAAAAUUUGGCAUAUGAAGGAACCUGCUUGAUUGCAUCUAAUAGAGGAAUGUUAACUUUCACUUGCUUAAAGAUUUCAUAAAUUUCAGAAGAGUGGUUUGAUUUCUUUGGUUUAUUCAAUGCAUGCGGAAAUGGUGGUUCAGGUGGAACACUAGUUAUUUCUUCACUAGGUGUAAGUUCAUUUAGUCCUUCCUUACCCUUUGAAUUUUCAUCAUUUUCAUAAGGUUCAGGCAUAGGUCUAUCAACAACCUUACCACUACGAAGAGUUAUAACUGACUUGACUUGGUCUGUGGGUGAAUUUUGUUGAAUUUUAGGAUUUGGUUGUGGUUGGGCUGGAAAUUUUCCUUUUUCUUGAAUGGUGAGUGCAGAAGCAAUUUUAGCAAGAGUAUCUUUCAAAUCAGAAAAAGUUUGUGCAUUUUGAUUGUUAAUAACAUCUUGCUUUCUGAUGAAUGAAUGCAUUGUGUCCUCCAGAUUUUUCCAAGGUGGUGGAACAUAUGGUGCAUAAGGCUGAGGAUUUUGAAAAUUUUGUGGAGGUGGUGCUUGUGAAGAUUGUGCAUUAUUAUUAUUCCUCCAACUGAAAUUCGGAUGAUUUUUCCAACCAGGAUUAUAAGUCUGUGAAUAUGGGUUUGGUUUAUUGAAAGUGUUAAUGACAUUAGCUUGAUCAUUUAGACAUUCUUUAAGUGCAGGCAAAGUGGGACACUCUUGAGUGAAAAGAUCAUUCGAAUUACAUAUGUUACAUGCAAUUUCUUGAACAGAUUUUACUUGAUCACUCUUUUUAUGCUCCAAAGCUUCAACUUUCCUAACUAGGGAUGCAAAUUUUGCUUGUAAAUCAUGAUCUUCCCUAAGGUUAUGGAUUCCUCCACUAGAUGGAGAUGAUUGUUGCUUAUUUGUCAAUUCAAAAGUUCCAACAGUAUCCCAAUGUUGUGCAUUUUCAGCUAAUUGGUCAAGGUAAUCUAGUGCAUCUUCAGGAUUUUUAUCCCUAAAUUCACCAUUACACAUCAUUUCAACAACCUGUCUACUUUGGGGUAUUAAGCCUUCGUAGAAAUAAGUGACCAAUCGCCAAGUUUCAAAACCAUGAUGUGGGCAUAUGUUAAGCAACUCUUUAAACCUAUCCCAACAUUGGUAUAAUGUUUCUCCAUUUUUUUGAGUGAAAGAAGUGAUUUGCCUUUUAAAAGAAUUUGUUCUAUGAGGUGGAAAGAAUUUUUUCAAAAACUGUUCUUGCAUGUUAUUCCAACUUCUUACUGAUCCAGAUCUAAGGUUUUGUAGCCAAGUUUUAGCUUUAUCUUUUAAUGAAAAAGGAAAAAGCUUUAAUCUAAUUAUGUUCAUGCUACAAUUUUGGUCCGUGUAUGUAUUACAAACUUCCUCAAAAUCUCUUAGAUGCAAGUACGGAUUCUCAGAUUCUAAACCAUGAAAUGUUGGUAAAAGUUGGAUAAUACCUGGUUUAAAAUUGAAUUGAGAUGCUUCUGGAGGAAAUACUAUACACGACGGUGCUCCGGUUCUGGUUGGAUUCAUGUAGUCUCUCAGAGUCCUUGGUUGAUUCUGAUCAUGCCCAUGUUGAGAUUGGUUGUCUCCCUGAUCAAUUUGAGGAUUAAGUUCGCCCAAAACGUUUUUGCCUUCAUUCUCAUCCAUAAUUGGUGGUGGAGAUUGAGAUCUACGAAUUAACCUGCCACUUGAAGAUCGAGACCAACGUCUCAUGCAAGGGUUAUGUUAUAAAGAUAAUAUUUACACAAAUUGAUAAUAAAAUAAAAUUAAAAAUUAAAUAUGCAAAUAAUAUAAGUGUACAAAAGAAAAUUAAAUAACAAUUUUGGUGGUUGAACCCACUAGUUAACAAUAUAAAAUAAAUGCAAAAGAAAGAAAAAGAAAAAAUGGUAGUUAAACCCACCAAUAAAGCAAAAAAAUAAAAUAAAAUAAAAUAAACGCAAAAUAAUAAAAUAAAUAAAUAAAAUGGUGGUUGAACCCACCAAUAAAAAAAAUAAAGCAAAAACAAAAUACAAAAUUAAAUAAAUACUGAAAAUAAAAAUUAGGAGUUAGUAGUUAGUUUGGUGGUUGAACCCACCAAUAAAGCAAAAAUAAAUAAAUACGAAAUUAAAUAAAUGCAGAAAAUUAAAUAACUGAAAUUAAAAAAGUUAGCAGUUAGCAGUUAGUAAGUUAAGAGUUAGUAAUUAGAGUUAGUAGUUAAAGUUAGUUUAGUCCAAAAUAUGUUGAGGAAUUUCGUCUAGGGAUUCUAUUGCAAAUUAUUUUUAAUUUUAUGGUCAAACUGUAAUUUUUAGAAGUUUAGAAUUAUUUUUAAUUUUAUGGCCAAACUGUAAUUUUUAGAAGUUUAGAAUAGAAAUUUGGAAUGAAAGUGAAACAGUUGGGGUGAAACUAGAAUUAUGAAAGAUAUGGGGACAAAAGAGAAUUUAAGAAAAGAAAAAGGGGGUAAACGAAAUUUUACAUAUAAGAGAAAAAUAAAAAACGGAAAAACAAACCAAAUAAAAAAAACUUUUCCCCGGCAACGGCGCCAAAAACUUGACACAUCUUAAAAGUAAUUUUUAACUCUCAAGUAUAAGAGUGUCUUGUUGUAUUAUAACUCGGUGAGUCCGAGGUCGAUCCACAGAGAAAAGAUUUAAUUAGUUUAUUUUAUUUUAUCUAAAAAUUAAAAUUAAAAUUUGAAUAUAAACAACUUAAUUUAAAUGAAACUAUGGAAUUGAACUAGUUAGGGUUAUGGAUCCACUCUUAGAAAUAAAUAAAACUUAAUAAAUUCUUUUUGCCAAUUUUUUUUAGAUUUAUUACCCAAAAGAUUAAUUAUACAAAUUAUUAUUAUUUUCCCUUUAAAUUUUAUGAUGGAUUAAGUAUUUAUUGUGCCAAAAUUUAAUUUGUCUACAAUAAGUCAAAAUACCAUUUCACCAUGCCUUAUAUUAAGAUCUUAAGAAUUUAUUGUGCCAAAUUCAUUUGUUUGUCUACAAUAAAUCAAAUUUUCAAAAUAUAAAACAUGUAUAAAAUUAAAUAGAAAAUAAUUUAAUUUAUAAAAUUAAACAUAGAAUUUGAUUAAAUCAUAUUUAUUUCUUAAGAGUUUCACCUUCCCCUAACUAAUAUUAUUUAGUUAAGCAUAAUUAAAAUAAAAAGAAGUAGUAAAAUUGAAUUACUUAUAAUUAAAAGAAAUAAAAACAACUAAAAUUGGAAAUAAAACUAAUUUUAUUAAUGAAAAUAAUUAUACAAAAUAUUAAAAACACACCUGGAAAUCAAGAUUACAAGGAGAUGGAGAGAAUUUGAGAAGAAGAGAGUUGUAGAGAGAUGAUUAAAACAUAAAAAUGAGGCCUUAUUUAUAGAAAAAUAAAUUCAUAAUCCAGUGCUUUGUGGUCCAUCAUAGGCUUCAUGCAUGUGCUCCUCACAACCCUUAGAUCAAGAUCCAAUGGCUAGUCAAACUUCAAAAGUCAACAUCACACAUGGCAUCAUUUGACUCGUCCGAUUUGCCCAAAGAACGGUUGAGAUUUGGCGGGUUAAUGGGUGGAUCGGGUCGACCCAAAUACAAAGAUUCGGAUCCUCCAACUUGCUUCACCAACCAUUGCCACGUGGCACAAUCAUGGCCAUUGAAUCAUGAACGGUUGAGAUUUAGUCAAGAUUGCCAAUUAUCCCAUGCACUCAUAUCUAUUGUAAGCUCAUUUCAUCAUCCAAUCAGUGCUCGGUCAACAGGAAAAGUCAACUUUUUUUUACACAAGCCUAAUUUUAAGCCGAUCUUGACUGAUCUUAAGGUUUUCGGACCUCCGGAAUCCAAAUUUGACCUCCGUUUAUCUGUUUGGAGCCUCGAAGUACGUGAAAUUAAUAAUUUUCCUAAUAAACACAUAAAAAUACACAAAAUUAAAUAUAUUUAAAACAUAAUUAAUAAUUCAUAAUAUAUUACAUAAACACAAAUAUAAAUUAUAACAUAAGCAUAAAAUAACAUAUUAUCGCUUGAUAAUUAAACAAUUUUUAAUACUAAUCAU
This 12125-nucleotide long non-coding RNA is filed under the name Citrus x clementina. RNAcentral describes it as "Citrus clementina (C. clementina) long non-coding RNA (CCLE_LNC005354)". The stretch from base 9233 to 9341 matches the Rfam family "Plant small nucleolar RNA R71". Lineage: Eukaryota; Viridiplantae; Streptophyta; Magnoliopsida; Sapindales; Rutaceae. The record is from RNAcentral.